RNAcentral lists this ribosomal RNA (531 nucleotides) under Triticum aestivum (bread wheat). RNAcentral's name for it is "partial small subunit ribosomal RNA". The record is from RNAcentral. Lineage: Eukaryota; Viridiplantae; Streptophyta; Magnoliopsida; Poales; Poaceae.
AUGGACGGCCACAUCAUCAAGGUGAUGAAAAACGCUCAUCCGAUUCUAAGGCUUGUGUGCAGCAGCCCUGGCAACCUGAUGUGCGUCGUCGGCUAUUCGAUGGGGAUAGCCACAUUGCUCAACCUCGCAACCGGAGAGGAGACUGUGAUUCACCUCAAAUUUGGCUUCAUGGGCUUCGGCCGCGCCGUCCCGUCGGGCGCCUACAAGAUGGUGAGCAUAAAUCCCAGCAGCUGUGAGAUCCUCACGGUGGGAGACGGCGUGGGGUGGAGGCAAGCGCAGCCCCUGCCUAGCAGCAGCAUCUCGUAUAACAGCCGCCCGGUCGUGGUCAGGGGUGUGCUCUACUUGAUUUUAGUUCCACAGCUCAACGGUGACAGCGUGAUCUGCUUCGAUCUUGAGAGCGAGGAGUGGAAGGGGGGAUCAGAGGCCCGCCGAGUAGCCAACGUCAGCGGUGUGACGCUAGCUUGCAGGAACUCAACGGGGCCCUGUGUAUGCUCCUGCCGGAGGUCGGAACCAUGGGCAUAUGGCUCCUAA